Long non-coding RNA from Equus caballus (horse), 1553 nucleotides. The record is from Ensembl. Lineage: Eukaryota; Metazoa; Chordata; Mammalia; Perissodactyla; Equidae.
GUAGAAUAGCUUUUUAUUUAAGAUUAGAGUCUCAUAAAUGACUAAGGCACAGCUCUGGGAAUGCAAAGAAUUGUAGACUUGGAUUCUGACUGCUACUGGCCAUUACUGGUCAGAAUGGGCUAGAAUAUGCUGUGAUAACAAACACCACCCAAAUCUUUGUAGUUUAACACAGCACAAAUAUUUUGAUCUCUCAUGCUAUGUGUCUAGCAUGGGUCAGGUUUGCUCCAUGUAGUCACUCCCAACAUCUCCUAACAUCAUCUCAACCCCAUGUUUCAGGGAUUACCAGGCCAGGGCAAGAGAGCCCUGGAAGUCCUUAAAGGGAAGCAAUUAAAUGUGUCUACCCAGAAUUUAUGCAUAGAACUUUCACUCACACAUCAUUGGCCAAAGCAGGUCACGUGGUCGUGCCUAACUUCAAAGGGACUGGGGUUUGCAUUCCACAGGUGUGCACAUUUCUUCUUCUAGAGAUGAACUACAUCUUGUUUAGCAGUUGUAAUGCCUGUCACACGUGACAGCCAGCCAGGUGACAUAGUUGACAUUCUGUUUUGUAAAUUAAGCAGGAUUCCUGGUGCUUUCACACAGAUGGAGGGCCAUCCUAAAUCUGCACAGAAUUGGACUUCAGGGAUGUCUGCAAACAGGGCCAGAUUUCUUCCAAAAAGAGAGCUUUGAAGCUCCUUAAUCGCCUCUUUUGAAAUCUACUACUCAAAACAAUUCAAUUCUCUGUGACAUGCCAUUCCCAUUCCCACUGGUUUAGAAAUGGGGAUAUGUUUUCAGUGCCUAGACUAUCAGACAAUCACUCAGGUCUCUUCCAUGUCUGAUAGUUUAGAAAGAAAGAUUCUUGGGCAGUCAAGCAGGCCCCUGAGGUCGUCUGACUUUCUGAGGAUGUUUUAGCUCCUAGUAGCAGGUUCAGGCUUGGAGCUCACAGGUCCUGCAGUUUUGUGCUUUUCAACCUCACUCUUCACAGGCCUCGGACUUAAAAAACGCAGCUGUGAUGCAAGUCCAUUCCGCUUGCUGCAAACUUGUUGGAAUAAAAUGGGGUGGGAUUGGAUGCCCAGGGCAAGAAAACGGUUUAGGGUAAACUCGGGUAGAGAACCCAGCAGGCCUCUGCCCUUCUCCUGCUGCCAUCCUCCAAGUUGCAGAGAGUUGGAGCUGUAAUCCUGACCACCCGGCAACAUACUAACAGACAGCAAGCAACUUGGAAGCAGGACCCAGGUCUUGGUCAGCAUUUUAUUCCCAAUGCCUCACACAUGGCAGACACUCAACAACAGAAUCACUGAAUAAAUGAAUGAAUGAAAGAAUGGCACAAAAAGAGGACUCAAUUAUAUUAAUAUACGCUUCUUUAUAUCACACUGGCUUCUACUUUUGCCAUAAUAAGAGGUUAAAACCCUUAUUUAAAGAAGAAAGAAACUUUACCCUAAUAGCAAAUAUCCAGAAGAAUGGCUUCUUUUGCCGUCAGAACUCUGACUUUAGCCAGUUGACCCAUUGAAGUGCUGGUGGAAGAUGCAAGCAUUAACCGCCAUGGGAGACUGCAUCCUCAGGAUGGGGAAAGGAAACAG